CCCUUUGUUUAUUACACUUUGUUGCUUUGGCAGGCCUGCCCUCGGGCUGCUGGCUCCGGCCGGCGAGCGCUUGCCAGAGGACCUAAACUCUGUUUGUCUAUACUGUCUGAGUACUAUAUAAUAGUUAAAACUUUCAACAACGGAUCUCUUGGUUCUGGCAUCGAUGAAGAACGCAGCGAAAUGCGAUAAGUAAUGUGAAUUGCAGAAUUCAGUGAAUCAUCGAAUCUUUGAACGCACAUUGCGCCCCCUGGUAUUCCGGGGGGCAUGCCUGUCCGAGCGUCAUUACAACCCUCAAGCUCAGCUUGGUAUUGGGCCCCGCCGACCCGGCGGGCCCUAAAGUCAGUGGCGGUGCCGUCCGGCUCCGAGCGUAGUAAUUCUUCUCGCUCUGGAGGUCCGGUCGUGUGCUCGCCAGCAACCCCCAAUUUUUUUCAGGUUGACCUCGGAUCAGGUAGGGAUACCCGCUGAACUUAAGCAUAU
RNAcentral lists this ribosomal RNA (477 nucleotides) under Pseudogymnoascus sp. ICE2-B1. Its description in RNAcentral is "eukaryotic LSU rRNA". The stretch from base 129 to 282 matches the Rfam family "5.8S ribosomal RNA". Lineage: Eukaryota; Fungi; Ascomycota; Leotiomycetes; Thelebolales; Thelebolaceae. The record is from RNAcentral.